UUCUUCUUUUCAAUCACGGAUCUGUGUCCGCGAUCCUCUGCUUACAGUCAGGGUUGAUUGCUGGCAAUUCGAUAACUCAUGGAGCCAUCAACUUGUUAUGAUGUCAAUUAUCCUAUCGACGGGUCCCAGAACGAUUGGGUAAAUCUUACGCUGUCCGAGAUCACUCUCUGAGUUUGAGCUUUAUCAGUAUUGGUUUACUCGCAGGCGCUAUAUUCCACUCCCCUUUUCCUAGGCCGUCGGCUUAUGCGGUUGGGGCAAACCAUGGGUUAGCCUACAUAU
Molecule: small RNA, 279 nt
Filed under: [Torrubiella] hemipterigena
Lineage: Eukaryota; Fungi; Ascomycota; Sordariomycetes; Hypocreales; Clavicipitaceae
Description: Torrubiella hemipterigena A. fumigatus sRNA Afu_309
Rfam family: A. fumigatus sRNA Afu_309
Source: Rfam by way of RNAcentral